This is a transfer RNA of Dictyostelium purpureum, 72 nucleotides long. It matches the Rfam family "tRNA". From Rfam's summary of the family: Transfer RNA (tRNA) molecules are approximately 80 nucleotides in length. Their secondary structure includes four short double-helical elements and three loops (D, anti-codon, and T loops). The record is from Rfam. NCBI's taxonomy places the organism in Eukaryota, Evosea, Eumycetozoa, Dictyosteliales, Dictyosteliaceae.
GGAUUCUUAGCUCAGUGGUAGAGUAUGCGACUGCAAAUCGUUUGGUCACCAGUUCAAUCCUGGUAGGGUCCU